GCAGUAUUUAGUUUAAUUAAAAUGUAAUAUUUGGGUUAUUAAGAUUAGUUACUGAUU
This 57-nucleotide transfer RNA is filed under the name Paramacropostrongylus iugalis. RNAcentral describes it as "tRNA-Pro". Lineage: Eukaryota; Metazoa; Nematoda; Chromadorea; Rhabditida; Strongylidae. The record is from RNAcentral.